This 277-nucleotide ribosomal RNA is filed under the name uncultured prokaryote. RNAcentral describes it as "partial 16S ribosomal RNA". It matches the Rfam family "Bacterial small subunit ribosomal RNA", at positions 524 to 801 of the family's 1533-position model. The record is from RNAcentral.
UACGUAGGGGGCUAGCGUUAUCCGGAAUUACUGGGCGUAAAGGGUGCGUAGGUGGUUUCUUAAGUCAGAGGUGAAAGGCUACGGCUCAACCGUAGUAAGCCUUUGAAACUGGGAAACUUGAGUGCAGGAGAGGAGAAUGGAAUUCCUAGUGUAGCGGUGAAAUGCGUAGAGAUUAGGAAGAACACCAGUGGCGAAGGCGAUUCUCUGGACUGUAACUGACGCUGAGGCACGAAAGCGUGGGGAGCAAACAGGAUUAGAUACCCUGGUAGUCCCUGAG